AAGUUUCAUUAAUAUGCGUAUCUCCAUACGACUCUUUUUCUGUUGUUUGAGUGUCAUUUGAGUUUGGGUUUUUUUAUAGGUUAACUAAAUUUUCUGAAAACAAAUGUCAACGCACAUUUAUCAUCACUAUUUUCCCUUUGCAGUUCAUUAACAAUGGAUACAUAUCCUGAUCCUGCCACUCUAGCGAAAGCAAUGGGUGCAAGAAAGAGUGUUGUGACAGUCUUGGUUGAGAAAAAAUGAACUGAUGGUAUUGUACUUGAUAGGUAUGGCUUCGAUUUUAUCAUCAAAUCAAGAGGUGGCAAAUCUC
This 307-nucleotide long non-coding RNA is filed under the name Setaria italica (foxtail millet). Its description in RNAcentral is "long non-coding RNA (SITA_LNC007444)". The record is from RNAcentral. Lineage: Eukaryota; Viridiplantae; Streptophyta; Magnoliopsida; Poales; Poaceae.